GAUGAACGCUGGCGGCGUGCCUAAUACAUGCAAGUCGAGCGAACAGACGAGGAUCUUGCUCCUCUGACGUUAGCGGCGGACGGGUGAGUAACACGUGGAUAACCUACCUAUAAGACUGGGAUAACUUCGGGAAACCGGAGCUAAUACCGGAUAAUAUAUUGAACCGCAUGGUUCAAUAGUGAAAGACGGUUUUGCUGUCACUUAUAGAUGGAUCCGCGCCGCAUUAGCUAGUUGGUAAGGUAACGGCUUACCAAGGCAACGAUGCGUAGCCGACCUGAGAGGGUGAUCGGCCACACUGGAACUGAGACACGGUCCAGACACCUACGGGAGGAAGCAGUAGGGAAUCUUCCGCAAUGGGCGAAAGCCUGACGGAGCAACGCCGCGUGAGUGAUGAAGGUCUUCGGAUCGUAAAACUCUGUUAUUAGGGAAGAACAAAUGUGUAAGUAACUAUGCACGUAUUGACGGUACCUAAUCAGAAAGCCACGGCUAACUACGUG
Molecule: ribosomal RNA, 497 nt
Filed under: uncultured bacterium
Lineage: Bacteria
Description: partial 16S ribosomal RNA
Rfam family: Bacterial small subunit ribosomal RNA
Source: RNAcentral